Cyphomyrmex costatus is the source of this 405-nucleotide long non-coding RNA. RefSeq lists it as uncharacterized. The record is from RefSeq and is a predicted model, not a curated record. The transcript is spliced from 3 exons. Lineage: Eukaryota; Metazoa; Arthropoda; Insecta; Hymenoptera; Formicidae.
CUGACAGUGAUAAUUCAGAGAUGGUUCAUUAAAAUCACGUGUCCAUAAACGAUUAAGCUACAACUGGCAUACUAGAAAACAUCAUUGACGUCAUCGUCGUUACAAAAAAGUCAACACUAUAUCAGAUUUUGCGACAAUUUCUACGUCGCCGUGACACAAUAUAAACAUGCAUAAUAAACCAGAUAUUUAUACAAUAAACGAUGCGCCACCCUCAUACGCGGAAGCAACAGGAGCACUUGCAUCAGAUACACAAAAUCCACAAUUAGGCCAAAGAUAUCCACAUACAACGACCUAUCCGUCUCCAUCAGCGCCGUUUCCGCAUCCGUAUUCGCCGAAUUAUGGCUAUCAGAAUAUGGAUAGAGUGCCUAUUCAAUCAUCUUAUCCACAAUAUGAGUCAACGGAACA